RNAcentral lists this ribosomal RNA (500 nucleotides) under uncultured bacterium. RNAcentral's name for it is "partial 16S ribosomal RNA". It matches the Rfam family "Bacterial small subunit ribosomal RNA", at positions 30 to 523 of the family's 1533-position model. The record is from RNAcentral.
AUUGAACGCUGGCGGCAGGCUUAACACAUGCAAGUCGAGCGGGGAAAGGUAGCUUGCUACUGGACCUAGCGGCGGACGGGUGAGUAAUGCUUAGGAAUCUGCCUAUUAGUGGGGGACAACGUUCCGAAAGGAACGCUAAUACCGCAUACGUCCUACGGGAGAAAGCAGGGGAUCUUCGGACCUUGCGCUAAUAGAUGAGCCUAAGUCGGACUAGCUAGUUGGUGGGGUAAAGGCCUACCAAGGCGACGAUCUGUAGCGGGUCUGAGAGGAUGAUCCGCCACACUGGGACUGAGACACGGCCCAGACUCCUACGGGAGGCAGCAGUGGGGAAUAUUGGACAAUGGGCGCAAGCCUGAUCCAGCCAUGCCCGUGUGUGAAGAAGGCCUUUUGGUUGUAAAGCACUUUAAGCGAGGAGGAGGCUCCUUUAGUUAAUACCUAAAGUGAGUGGACGUUACUCGCAGAAUAAGCACCGGCUAACUCUGUGCCAGCCGCCGCAGUAA